This 940-nucleotide long non-coding RNA is filed under the name Homo sapiens (human). Its description in RNAcentral is "non-protein coding lnc-HIVEP3-1:3". Lineage: Eukaryota; Metazoa; Chordata; Mammalia; Primates; Hominidae. The record is from RNAcentral.
GAUUAUAGAACACAUGUGCUCCUUAAAGAAAAACACUGUGCAGGGAGAUAACAGUCAUCAAACAUGGAAACCUUUGAGUUGAAUAGCUCAUCCAGUUUCCCCACAUUAUUUCCAGUGGAGGACCCAGCACUCAGAGACGCCCUUCUUUAAAGAAGCAGUUUAUCCAUUCUGCAUAUCCAGAGGUUCUCCUCAUGACUCAGAGCCCCUCUGAGAAGAGAAACAGUCUGGUGUCUCGGAUUUGUUCCUGUGUUGCCCACUCCUGCUGGAUCUUGUCCAGUCGAGGGACAAACGUCCUGAAGAAUGGGAAGAAAGGAGGUUCUGAAGGCACAGAUUCCAAUACCAUGCCAGAGGUUGAGGACACUGGUGCUUGAAGGGAAACUGGCACACUCUGGAGCCCCAAGAAGAGCUGGAGCUGGAGGCAUGCGGCCCACGAAGGGUAGAAGUACCAGCCAUGACCAAGAGCCCUUCACAUCAUCUGGCAAUCCAUCCAGAACCCACUGAAUGGAGGACAGCACAGCGAGGUCUUUCUCAUUUUGUAACUGCAAAAGCUGGAACAAGAGCCAGAGAAGCCAAAGAAGCAGUACAAGUCCAACAGCUUUUAGAAUAACCCUGAGAAAAUGGUUGAAUUUUGACCAGUUUUGCAAUUGGAUACUAUGAGAAGAGACCUUCCCUCCUGCACUGGAUUUCAUCAUCAUACCUGGAGGCCAUUCCUCAUGGGACUUUGGCCAUCUCAUAUCCACCUUUAAGCAUGUUAUUCCCAUUUCAGCUGUGGUAGCUCUGGGUAUCCUUCCCUAGGAGAAAAUAUUAAUCUUUUCUCCCUCUGAGUUCUGGAUUAAACUGUCUUAUCUGAAACUGGGUCACUUUAGGCUAGAAGCACCACUAGACAUUCCUGUUCUCAGAAGUUGCCAAGUUCAUGUCAUAUCUGUUUCAUUGUUAACGG